GAUGAACGCUAGCGGCAGGCCUAAUACAUGCAAGUCGAACGGAUAUAUGUUUUUCGGAAUAUAUAUUAGUGGCGCACGGGUGAGUAACACGUACAUAACUUGCCCUCAAGCGGGGGAUAGCCUUGGGAAACUGAGAGUAAUACCCCAUAGAAUUAUUGGACGGCAUCGUUUGAUAAUUAAAACUACGGUGUUUGGGGAUAGAUGUGCGUCUGAUUAGCUAGUUGGUGAGGUAACUGCUCACCAAGGCGACGAUCAGUAGGGGGCGUGAGAGCGUGGCCCCCCACACGGGUACUGAGACACGGACCCGACUCCUA
This 314-nucleotide ribosomal RNA is filed under the name uncultured bacterium. RNAcentral's name for it is "bacterial SSU rRNA". It matches the Rfam family "Bacterial small subunit ribosomal RNA", at positions 28 to 341 of the family's 1533-position model. The record is from RNAcentral.